UACGGGGGGGGUAAGCGUUGUUCGGAAUUACUGGGCGUAAAGGGCUCGUAGGUGGCCAACUAAGUCAGACGUGAAAUCCCUCAGCUUAACUGGGGAACUGCGUCUGAUACUGGAUGGCUUGGAUUCGGGAGAGGAAUGCGGAAUUCCAGGUGUAGCGGUGAAAUGCGUAGAUAUCUGGAGGAACACCGGUGGCGAAGGCGGCAUUCUGGACCGACAUUGACGCUGAGGAGCGAAAGCCAGGGGAGCAAACGGG
Molecule: ribosomal RNA, 253 nt
Filed under: uncultured bacterium
Lineage: Bacteria
Description: partial 16S ribosomal RNA
Rfam family: Bacterial small subunit ribosomal RNA
Source: RNAcentral